Molecule: long non-coding RNA, 467 nt
Filed under: Brassica rapa (field mustard)
Lineage: Eukaryota; Viridiplantae; Streptophyta; Magnoliopsida; Brassicales; Brassicaceae
Description: long non-coding RNA (BRAP_LNC001674)
Source: RNAcentral
GAGAUGAUAUCCCUGGAACAGUAAGCAGUAGCAGUUACAACUAACCUUUACUGGUGAGUGUGUGACUAGGGGAGCCCUGCUACAAAUGCUUGUGGGGUUAUGGAGGGAGCUUCUGUUGCUGCAGGUGUUUCGCAUGAUGAACCUGUACAUGGUGGAAUAACUGCUGAUGGUCCACCACUCCGGAGGCUGAUCCAGCAAAGCUGAAGUUCCCAGCAUCGUGUGUCGCCAACUCAAGCGUCCACCACUGCUGCUCCUUAGGUUUUUGUCUUCAUUUGAGUUAAAAUAAAUUGUUUAAGAUCACGCUACUUAUUUCAAUGCUUUUGUUGUUGGGUUUUUUUUUUUUUACUUUUUCUUAGCGUUGUCAUCACGAAAACUUUGUAUCAGCAGUGGUUUAAAAAAAAAUAUUUAUUGCUCUUCAACAAACUACAUUCCUGUUUGUUUAAAAAUAAGCUAUAUUCCUGUUGCUA